UACGUAGGGUGCAAGCGUUGUCCGGAAUUAUUGGGCGUAAAGAGCUCGUAGGCGGUCUGUCACGUCGGCUGUGAAAUCCCGAGGCUCAACCUCGGGUCUGCAGUCGAUACGGGCAAACUAGAGUAUUGCAGGGGAGACUGGAAUUCCUGGUGUAGCGGUGAAAUGCGCAGAUAUCGGGAGGAACACCAGUGGCGAAGGCGGCGAUCUGGGAAGAUACUGACGCUGAGGUGCGAAAGCGUGGGGAGCAAACAGG
RNAcentral lists this ribosomal RNA (253 nucleotides) under uncultured bacterium. Its description in RNAcentral is "partial 16S ribosomal RNA". It matches the Rfam family "Bacterial small subunit ribosomal RNA", at positions 524 to 776 of the family's 1533-position model. The record is from RNAcentral.